AUGCAAGCUCGAACGGAACUUAGUCCUUCGGGCUGAAUUUAGUGGCGGACGGGCUGAGUAACACGUGAGCAACCUGGCCUCUCAGAGGGGAAUAACGUUUGGAAACGAACGCUAAUACCGCAUAAAGUGCAGAGAUGGCACUCAUCAUUGCACCAAAGGAGAAAUCCGCUGAAGGAUGGGCUCGCGGCCGAUUAGAUAGUCUGGUGAGGUAAUGGCUCACCAAGUCAGCGAUCGGUAGCCGGACUGAGAGGUUGAACGGCCACAUUGGGACUGAGACACGGCCCAGACUCCUACGGGAGGCAGCAGUGGGGGAUAUUGCACAAUGGAGGAAACUCUGAUGCAGCGACGCCGCGUGAGGGAAGACGGUUUUCGGAUUGUAAACCUCUGUCUUCGGGGAAGAAAAAAGACGGUACCCGAGGAGGAAGCCACGGCUAACUACGUGCCAGCAGCCGCGGUAAUACGUAGGUGGCAAGCGUUGUCCGGAAUUACUGGGUGUAAAGGGAGCGUAGGCGGGAAUGCAAGUUGAAUGUUAAAACUAUCGGCUCAACCGAUAAGUGCGUUCAAAACUGUGUUUCUUGAGUAAAGUAGAGGCAGGCGGAAUUCCUA
RNAcentral lists this ribosomal RNA (606 nucleotides) under uncultured Clostridia bacterium. RNAcentral's name for it is "bacterial SSU rRNA". It matches the Rfam family "Bacterial small subunit ribosomal RNA", at positions 55 to 672 of the family's 1533-position model. Lineage: Bacteria; Bacillati; Bacillota; Clostridia. The record is from RNAcentral.